UGGCAAGCGUUGUCCGGAUUUAUUGGGCGUAAAGCGAGCGCAGGCGGUUGGGUAAGUCUGAAGUUAAAGGCUGUGGCUUAAACAUAGUAUGCUUUGGAAACUGUUCAACUUGAGUGCAGAAGGGGAGAGUGGAAUUCCAUGUGUAGCGGUGGAAUGCGUAGAUAUAUGGAGGAACACCGGUGGCGAAAGCGGCUCUCUGGUCUGUAACUGACGCUGAGGCUCGAAAGCGUGGGUAGCGAACA
This 242-nucleotide ribosomal RNA is filed under the name uncultured bacterium. RNAcentral describes it as "partial 16S ribosomal RNA". It matches the Rfam family "Bacterial small subunit ribosomal RNA", at positions 532 to 774 of the family's 1533-position model. The record is from RNAcentral.